GAUGAAGAACGUAGUGAAAUGCGAUAAGUAGUGUGAAUUGCAGAAUUCAGUGAAUCAUCGAAUCUUUGAACGCACAUUGCGCCCUGUGGUAUUCCGCAGGGCAUGCCUGUUCGAGCGUCAUUGACACCCUCAAGCUCUGCUUGGUCUUGGGCGUUUGUGCCUGCCGUUGCGCAGGGACUCGCCUCAAACUCAUUGGCAGCCUGCCUUUGCCGGUCUUUGCACAGCACAGUCGUGCCAAAGCCGCGGUGAGCAGGCGCUCCACAAGCCCUUUUCAGCUUGACCUCGGAUCAGGUAGGAAUACCCGCUGAACUUAAGCAUAUCAAUAAGCGGAGA
This 333-nucleotide unclassified non-coding RNA is filed under the name soil metagenome. RNAcentral describes it as "partial contains 5.8S ribosomal RNA, internal transcribed spacer 2, and large subunit ribosomal RNA". The stretch from base 1 to 120 matches the Rfam family "5.8S ribosomal RNA", at positions 35 to 154 of the family's 154-position model. The record is from RNAcentral.